GUUGCGUUCUUUGGAAUGUGUACGCUGAGAGUAAUGGCGGCGGUAGAAGACGCUCUUUUGUCACAUUCGCAGUCGGUAAAGGUUGAAAGUGCGAGGGGAGCGAUGGAAACCACAGUGGCCCGGGAGGGGUUUCUAAACACCUCUGGAAGAGGAUUGGGAGAAGCUGAUUUGUGAAUGGCAAAUGAAAACUAAACUCACUAGUCAGGAUCUGAUUAUCAUCAGCUUUUCAAUGUGGAAAUAGAAAUGCUUGCCUCUUCUGUCUGUUGGGGAAAACCUCAUCGUGAGACACAGAAACACCCAAACGAGAAUGUUACCAUGCACUGACUGUGUAAAGAGCUUUAACCAAUUACGAUGCCUGAAUAAGCAUUCCACCAUUCUCAACCCAGAGAAAUUACACGUUUUUUUUAUUUAAAAGAGGUUUCAGCAAAUCAUCCAACCUGGAGAGACACAAAGAUACCAGCACCAUGGACAAACCGUGGAAAUGUGAGUACUGUGGGAAGAGAUUCAGUUGGCCAUCCCAGCUGGAAAUACAUGGACGCACUCACACGGGGGACAGGCCGUUCACCUGCUCCAAGUGUGGAAGAGGAUUCAGAGAGUCAUCCAACCUGCUUGCUCACCAGCGGGUUCACACUAAUGACAGACCUUUUAAAUGUUCAGACUGUGGAAAGUGCUACAAAUGUUCUGGGGACCUGAUGUCCCAUAAACGUGUUCACACCAAUGAGAAACCUUUCAGGUGCUCUCACUGCAAGACUGGAUUCAGAAAAUCAUCUGAACUCAGUGUACAUCAGCGCACCCAUACUGGGGAGAGGCCAUAUACCUGCUCUGCAUGCGGGAAGGGGUUCAUUAAUUCAUCCAACCUGUUGAGACACCAGCGAGUUCAUUCUGCGAAGAGAACUUUUAAAUGUUCUGACUGUGAGGAGACUUUGAAAAGUAGCAAUAACCUGCUGAGACACCAACGCACUCGCACUGGAGAGAAGCCAUUCACCUGCUCGGUGUGUAGGAAAGCAUUUUACAUGAUCAUCGACCCUGGUCACACACCAGCAAAUUCACACUGGGGAGAGACCAUUCACCUGCUCUAUGUGUGUAAAGAAAUUCACAUGUGCAUCUCACCUUCUGAAACACCAAUGCACUCAUACAGAGGACAGGCCAUUGACUUGCUCUGUUUGUGGGAAGGGAUUCACUGAGUCAUCCAAUCUGCUGCAACAUCAGCGAGUUCACUACUGACUGGGAGUCAGAUUCUGACAGUAUUGCUGCUGGCCAUUACAGCCAGGACUGACCUAGCAAGUUGAUCUUGAGGAGAGCAAGAAGUGUGUUCCAGCCAUUUUUCUUCCCUGGCUCAGAACUCCCAGCCCUUGAUCAGAAAAUUCUUUACAAUUGUAUAUAAUGUCAGAAAUAACAAUGAUGAAAGCUGGAAAUGUGCUGUCAGAUCAAAAUUGGUGUAGAACGAUGACCUUUCCUGGCUGGAAGUUAAUGGGCAGAUUUAUGUUUUCCCUACAUUAGUAAACACAAAACUGGAACAAAACCUUCCAUUGCUAAUAUGGCAUCUCUCAGCCUUCUCUUUUCCAAGGAAAAGAUCUUCAGGCUUUCCUAAUCCUAUACCUUCACUUUGGGUGUGAUAACAUACUGGCUGUGUGUUAGAAGGAUUUCCUCAUGCCGAGGAAAUAGUACAUUCUUUUUGGUUCCGACAAGAAUUGACUGAGAAAGAGAGAGAAAAGAACAUCUCCAGUAACAUAAAAUCAGAUAUUAGAUGGAGAACAUGUACAAGUGGAAAACUCAAAUAUCACAUCUGGAUCUGACAGUGAUGCUUGAUUCCUGGAAACAGAAAGCACCCCAUUCACAGGAUGAAGAAACUGCAACACAUGUUGUGGAUGUGGAUGAGGCUACAGUCGAUCAUCUGGAUUGCGAAAACAUAAGCAGAGUCACACUGGGGAGAAACCAUGUAAAUGUAGGGACUGUGAGAAUGUAUUCAAUUAUUCAUAUGAGCUGGAAUAUCAUUGAUGCAGUCAUCCAGGAGAGAGGUUGUUCUGUUGCAGUGAAUGUGGUGAAGCAUUUGUUCAUUCAUCCACCUUGCUGAUGGACCAGCAGGUUCACACUGGAGAGAGGCCAUUUACCAUUUCUGUGUGUGGGAACAGGUACAUAUUUUUAUUUGCAAAAUUGAGACAGUGUCAUUGCUGUAACUGGGAUAACAGCUUUAAAUGUCCAUGUGGACUGAGGGAGAACCAGCACAUUCCCAUUGGGUAUUCCCCAUUCCAAAGCUCUUACUGCAGCAAGAAAUUCAGGCGAUCAUCCAGCCUGUCGAUACAUCAGCGAAUUCACACUGGGGAGAGACCUUUCACAUGCUCUUGUGUGUGGGAAGGGAUUCAUUAAUUCGUCCAAGCUGCUAGUACAUCAGUAUCUACACUGGGGAGAAAUCUUUCCAAUGCCUAGAUUGCAGGAAAUUGGACAAGUGCUUGAAAGAAAAUAGUUUCAGGCUGAUUGAGGAAGCAGCGGUGGAGAGGGUGAAGUCUGAAACCCAGUCAUGUCACUGCAGACAGGUCACCAUGACAACAUUGACAAACAUUCCGUUCCACAUUGUUUCACACAAGUGGCUAGAAUGUCAAAGUAAAAUCUUAAAUAAUGGGGAAAGUUAUUAUCUGAAAUGUACAGCCAGAGAAGGUGGUAGAGGCAGAUUUACUGGAGAUUUACAAGAGGAGAUUGUCACUCGGUGAAUUUCUCAGUCAGGUGGUCAUCCAAGUGUUACAGGAAGAAGCUGAAGGAUUGAUAAUUGCUGAUUUGAGACUCAGGGACCAGCACCAGCACCACCAUCAGCUUCCAUCCCCCGACUCCAUCAAUAAUAAACCCUGCAGUGCAGACUGUUAACUGGUAUCAAUUUCCCUCUGCAUCUUACAAUUGGGGCACUGUCGAGUGGAGGUUAGUGCUUGUUCAGCAAUUCCCUGUAACUACCGCAGUGCAAGUUCUGUUCUGCAGCCUCUGAGCUGAAUGGCCUGAAAAAGUUCCUGUUGCCCUGCCCUUACUUGGCCUGUUUGCCCUUACUUGACCUUCUGGAAAGUUGCUCUGGCCCAAUGUGAAAAUAUUGCCCACUUGAAUUGAGGUUUGUGUCCUACAGAAAGGAGACUGGAGGCAUGGUGUCAUGAUGCAAUGAUAAACGGCCUCUCCCUCAAUGUCAGCAAAACAAAAGAACUAAUCAUUGACUUCAGGAAGAAGGGAGGAGAACACAUUCCCAUCUAAGUCAACAGAGCGGAAAUUGAGAGUUAAGUUUCCAGGAGUGAUGAUAAAAAAUCAAGAAACUGGCCUGGACUUACCAGUUAGAUGUGACGGUCAAGAAGGCACAAUGACAUCUCUUCUUCUGCAGGCAGCUUAGGAAAUUUGCCAAGUCCAUAAGGACCAUCACCAACUUUUACAGAUGCAUCAUAGAAAGCAUACUGCCCUGGGUUCAAAAUGCCCUGGUACGACAACUGCUCUGCCCAGGACUGAACUAACUGUAGAAGACGGUGUGCGCAGGCCUCACCAUCACGGAAGCCAACCUUCCACCCAAGGACUACAUGCCUACAAAGAAAGGGUACCAACAUCAUAAAAGACCCCUCCCACUGUGUAAUGCUCUCCCACAACCUCUUCCAUCAGGCAGAAGAUACAGUAGCUUGAACAAACGCACCAGCAGGUUCAAGAACAGCUUUUUUCCGGACAUUAUUAGACUGAUGAAUGGGCUAUCUAACUUCAAAUCAUGUUAAAAUGCUGAUCUUGCUCAGCACAUCUCCUGUGUGACGUACGCUACACACCUCACUCAGUCCCAGCAUCCUUUGACCUGUAUAUCCUUGCUUACUAUGAUUUGCCUGCAGUGGUCACAAGACAAAGUUUUACACCGUACACAUGGCAGUAAAUAAAUAAGUCAAAUCUCGAGGUGUUCUCUCGUCUAGUCAGGGCUGUCCUCACCACAGUCCUCCCUCCAGUCUGAUUGCUAGGUUUCACCUCUGAGCCCUUCACCUACUGCUGUCCUGCUGCUGAUCUUGACCUCAGGCAUUUUCUUGCUGCUAACCACCAUUUCUCUAGGUGUAGUCACUGUGUGCCUCAAAGUCUGACUAUCAGUUUCUGAGACCUUUGGACAGACUGGUCAGGACGUAAUACCAUUUAAGACAAGCGCCAUUGUUUACUAUAACCCACGUGCAGAGGCAUCUGAUGGGCAGAAUAGUCUACUCCCGUGUUGCUAUGACUUGUAAUGUUUUUUAAUGUACUUUUCUUUAUUCUGGUAUUUAACAAAAUAAA
Stegostoma tigrinum is the source of this 4260-nucleotide long non-coding RNA. RefSeq lists it as uncharacterized. NCBI's taxonomy places the organism in Eukaryota, Metazoa, Chordata, Chondrichthyes, Orectolobiformes, Stegostomatidae. The record is from RefSeq and is a predicted model, not a curated record. The transcript is spliced from 4 exons.